AUCUCAGCAGAGACUCAGUCUGUGUAGGAGGAGGCUGAGAGGUCUCCUUCAGGGAUGACGCAUGCCCACAGGGCCAGUCAGUCGUUCGGGAGCCUCCACUCUUCAGAGACACGUGUGUGCGUCUGUGCAUGGCAAUGUGAAAUGUGACAAGGGCUUAGUUAACUCUGAAGAGCUGGGUCCUUGAUUCAUGAAAACAAUAGUGACAGUAAAUAUUUGUUGAGUACUUACAAGGUGCCAAGCACCACACAGCACUUUCUGAGCUUCUGCCUGUCACAUUCUUCUGCUCUCUCAAAUCAGCUGAGGUUCUGAGCACCAAGAAGAUGAACACUGAUUGCGGAUGGGUGCCAUUUCUCCAAGGAAAUUAUUCUGUUGUCUGCCUUUGACAUACAUAACACACACAAGAAAAUGAAGAACAACCUUCUAUUUUAAA
Macaca mulatta (Rhesus monkey) is the source of this 430-nucleotide non-coding RNA. Lineage: Eukaryota; Metazoa; Chordata; Mammalia; Primates; Cercopithecidae. The record is from RefSeq and is a predicted model, not a curated record.